RNAcentral lists this ribosomal RNA (329 nucleotides) under uncultured eukaryote. Its description in RNAcentral is "partial 18S ribosomal RNA". It matches the Rfam family "Eukaryotic small subunit ribosomal RNA", at positions 1470 to 1796 of the family's 1831-position model. The record is from RNAcentral.
CCCUUAGAUGUUCUGGGCCGCACGCGCGCUACACUGAUGCAUUCAACGAGUCUAAAACCUGCUCUGAUAGGGGUGGGUAAUCUUUUGAAUGUGCAUCGUGAUUGGGAUAGAUGAUUGCAAUUUUUCAUCUUCAACGAGGAAUGCCUAGUAAACGCAAGUCAUCAGCUUGCAUUGAUUACGUCCCUGCCCUUUGCACACACCGCCCGUCGCUCCUACCGAUUGAAUGAUCCGAUGAAUAUCAUGGAUUGAGGAUGUAAGCAGGUUCGCCUGUCUUCAUCUUCGAGAAGUGAAGUAAAUCUUAUCAUUUAGAGGAAGGAGAAGUCGUAACA